AUGGCGACCCCGGGGGCGGAAGUGGAGCGGCGCAGGCUGCGGCGGAAGUUAGGCCGCGUUGCCACGGCGACCCCGAGGGCGGAAGUGGAGCCGCGCAGGCUGAGGCGGAAGUUAGGCCGCGUUGCCAUGGCGAUGAGCGGGGCCGUUCGGGGGUGGGAGCGCGGGGCUCGGUGGCCGGUAGCAGGCCGCUGGAGCCCGACGCGGAGCUCAAGAUGGACCCCGAGGCGCUCGUCCAGUGUCCCUACGACAAGGCGCACCAGAUCCGGGUGUCCCGGCUGCCUUACCACCUCGUCAAGUGCCAGCGGAACAACCCGCAGGUGGCUCGCUCGAUGGAGAUCUGUCCUUUCAACGCCAGGCACAGGAUCCCACGAGCCGAGCUGCAGAGACACAUUGCCUGCUGCCCCGACCAGCGCCUGCUCUUCGACUCUCGGGGGUCGUCCAUGUGCACCGGUGACCAGGCAAAGCAACCCAAGGUCCCCGUGGCCUGGCAGGCCCCCCCGUGCCAAGAGGACUGGGAGGCAGGUGAGUAUCCUUAGGGUGCUAAGUGGUGCCUCCCCCGUGCCCACCCAAAGCUGGCACAGCCCUGUCUCGUUACCCUUUGCAGAGGUCAGUGAGCUGGAGGAAGCUGCACCGUUUAUCCUCGACACCACUGUCAGUGAGCUGCCCCUCCAAGGAGACAGGUAG
Molecule: long non-coding RNA, 684 nt
Filed under: Chrysolophus pictus (golden pheasant)
Lineage: Eukaryota; Metazoa; Chordata; Aves; Galliformes; Phasianidae
Description: lncRNA (ENSCPIG00010014802.1)
Source: RNAcentral